AUGACUGAGAGGCAGAAGUAGCAUGCUUUGAAUCCAACUGUGAGGUGAGAUUAAUUUUUCCACCUUUUCUCUUGGCCAACCCAAGUCUACCAUUACAAUUCAAAAUAGAUUCCGAAUCCAAGUCUUGACAGGAAGAAUGAGAACCAUCAUUUAAAUUAUCAAAGCCAAGGGAAUCAGAGUUAUUUUCUGAUCCACGCACAGACUCUUUAAUGGUAAGACCGCCAACUUGUUGAUUAAAUUUACCUAAAAAUGAAGUAUUUACAUGGCUGGUAUUGGUAGCAACUUCAACAGACGAAGACUUUGCAUGUACCAUUUCAUAAGGUUCCGCUCUAUUUUUGGAGAUACUUGAAGUUACAUCAC
Molecule: long non-coding RNA, 360 nt
Filed under: Zostera marina
Lineage: Eukaryota; Viridiplantae; Streptophyta; Magnoliopsida; Alismatales; Zosteraceae
Description: long non-coding RNA (ZMAR_LNC002320)
Source: RNAcentral